RNA transcript from Mus musculus (house mouse), 4299 nucleotides. It is a transcript of the gene named COP9 signalosome subunit 3, with no coding region annotated. Lineage: Eukaryota; Metazoa; Chordata; Mammalia; Rodentia; Muridae. The record is from RefSeq and is marked validated. The transcript has 12 exons.
GAUCUCGCGGCGCUUGGCCGGCGGAAGUGACACAACCUGCCUCCAGGCUUUAGUGGGUCGCCGGGCCCCUCCUCCUAGAGCAGUCGCUUUUUCCCGCGCGAGCUUACCUCUGUUGCUCGGGCCACCAGCGGGGGGAAACAUGGCGUCUGCUCUGGAGCAGUUCGUGAACAGUGUCCGACAGCUCUCAGCUCAAGGGCAAAUGACUCAGCUUUGUGAACUCAUCAACAAGAGUGGAGAACUCCUUGCGAAGAACUUGUCCCAUCUGGACACUGUGCUUGGGGCUUUAGAUGUUCAAGAACACUCUUUGGGUGUCCUUGCUGUUCUGUUUGUGAAGUUCUCAAUGCCCAGUGUUCCUGACUUCGAAACACUAUUCUCACAGGUUCAGCUUUUCAUCAGUACAUGUAAUGGCGAGCACAUUCGAUAUGCAACAGAUACGUUUGCUGGGCUUUGCCAUCAGCUAACAAAUGCACUUGUGGAAAGAAAACAGCCCCUUCGAGGAAUUGGCAUCCUUAAGCAAGCCAUAGACAAGAUGCAGAUGAAUACCAACCAACUGACCUCAGUACAUGCCGAUCUCUGCCAGCUUUGUUUACUAGCGAAGUGCUUUAAACCUGCCCUUCCAUAUCUUGAUGUGGAUAUGAUGGAUAUCUGUAAAGAGAAUGGAGCCUAUGAUGCAAAACACUUUCUGUGCUACUACUAUUAUGGAGGAAUGAUCUAUACGGGGCUGAAGAACUUUGAAAGAGCGCUGUACUUUUAUGAGCAGGCUAUAACUACUCCUGCCAUGGCCGUCAGCCAUAUCAUGUUGGAAUCAUAUAAAAAGUAUAUUCUAGUGUCUUUGAUAUUACUUGGCAAAGUACAACAGCUGCCUAAAUACACCUCUCAAAUAGUGGGUAGAUUUAUUAAGCCUCUCAGCAAUGCUUACCAUGAGUUAGCACAAGUUUAUUCAACCAACAACCCGUCUGAGCUGCGGAACCUGGUGAGCAAGCACAGCGAGACCUUCACUCGAGACAACAACAUGGGCCUGGUGAAGCAGUGCCUGUCGUCUCUUUAUAAGAAGAACAUUCAGAGGCUGACAAAGGGCUAGAGCAGGGUAUUUGAGAAGAGGAGCAGGUGAAGAGGAGGAAAGGUAGGAGAUACAGCUACACUGGGAGGCAGAGAGGUAGCCCUGAAGGGGUGACCAGUUCCAAGUGGGCAGUCAUGGGUGGCUAGUGAUCGCUGGCCUCAACUCUCAGGCUGUGCUGAUCUCUGCUUUGAUGUGAGAAAACUGACAUUACCAUGUGGGCCAGAGCUAGACAAGCCACAGUGCUUAAGUUGUAGGAGAUAAGGGAGUUUUUAUUUAUUUACACAGGAUCGUCCUAUGUUGCCCAAGUGGACCUUAAACUCAUGAUCCUCCUGCCUUCGUGUCCAGAGUGCUAGAGUUACAGGUGUGUGUCACCAUGUCCUGCUCUUCAUCUUUAUGUUCAGGGUUUCUGAUGAUAGCAAACACCUGCUGGGUCUGAUGGCAUGUGCAUGUAGUCCUAGCACUGGGAAUGCUGAUGGAGGAGGAUUUCUUAAGGCUAGUCCAAGCAGUGUUACAAGACUGACUCAAGAGAAAAAAAAAGAAAUAGGCUUUUUAUUAAGUGUUUGAACUGUAAAGCAAAACAUAAAUUAAAUUCCUUCUUCAAAAGGUGUAUGCUGGAAGUAAUAGGAAUUUUACUAAGAAAAGCUUAUGUAGCUUUCUGGGUGAAGAGGCAGCUCACAGCCUGGCAGGGACAGCUGGCGAGAUGAUGGGGAUCCCAGUGUUCCCAUGCUUGUGCCCAUCAUCAGUAGCUGGUGGUAGGAAAGUGUAGGAGCCAGGCUGUAGCUGGGAUGCCCAUGUGACGAAAGCAGGAAGUGAUGAUGGAUACCAAAGGAAAAAGUAGGGAGUGGAGUGGGUGGAGAUGGACAGGCCAUUGGGAACAUGGGGCCUGGAGGAGAAGAGGGGACAGGGAACUCUCACUGGUCAACAGGAGGAGUUCCUCCCAGUAGUCUAGACUCUAGGAAGAACGAGGAACAGCUUCCUGACUAAAAAGAAUUAGAAGUCAAUUUGUAAGGAAAAUGAAGAAUGAGACAAAGAAAAGCAACUUAGAAAAGUUCUACAACAAAUGUAACCUGUCAGCUAGAAAAAUCAACUGUAGAAAUCUAAUAUGGUUGGAUAUGCUAGCAUAUGCCUGUGAUCCCAGCACUUGGAAUGCAGAGCUAAGCAGAUCUCUGAGUUCAAAACCAGCCUAGUAUACGUAGAGUUCCAGGCUAGCCAGGACUACAUAGUGAGAUCCUGUCUCAAAACAAAGAAGUCAAUCUAAUAUAUGCAGGCAUUGCUAUGAAAAUCAUCAGCCACAGUUUAAUAUUUUGAAACAGUUAGUAGCUUGUACUUUUGAGCUAGCAAUAAAGUAAAAUGUGUUUUGUAGUUUAGAUAGGAUAAUCCAGAACAAAAUAAGCACACAAAUAUAAAAAUAAAAUUAUAAAAAAAAUUAAAAUUUUAAGAAAAAAGAAUUUGAUCAAAUAAACAGGGUCCUAAAGUGGUCUGAGCAGAGCUGAGGCAAGCAGCUCAUUCAUUGUGUCCAGGUCCUUCCUGGGCAGCUCACGGUAGAUGAUAACAUAGAGUUUAUGAGUGCUGUCCAGGGCAUCUAGGGGAAGACCACCAUAGAGUGAGGUAGUGCUGCAGUAAUAGUAGCAGAAGAAAACGAAGUUUCUAGACGAAUGAAGCCUCUUUCUUACUAGCAAAUCACAAAGAAGCUAUUCAUAGAAGCCUCAGCAGAUAGACUUGUGUGUAUUGAUGUUUGCGAUGGGAUCUCUGUCUCAAGGUGGCCAGGUACAGUGGCCAUUGUUGGGAAUUUUAUCUGCCUCAUCCAUUGUAGAGAGGUUACUUUCUGUCACUGUUUGGACAUUGGUUGGUUGGUUGUUUGAGACAAAGUCUCACUGUGUAGCCCUUUAUGACCUAGAACCUUCCCACCAAGCUAGGGCAGCCUUGAACUCCACAGAGAUCUAUCCGUCUGUCUCAGCUUCUGGAGUGCUGGGAUUAAAGGUUUGUUCAACCAUGCCAGGCCGGACAGUAGACUUAGAUUCCUCUCAUGUCUCUUAUGUGUGUUUGUGAAGAGAGUCAUUUGUCAUUAGGAGCAUUCUGCUCUCUCCUGGUCUUCCCCUCAGUAUGUCCUGAACCUCUUUUCCAUGGCAUCCUAAGCCUGUAUCACAGAUACUUAACUGCAGGCACUCUCUCACUAGCCCCAGUGGGAAGGCAGUCUCCCUGUGGUGUAUGGUUUUCCUCCUGAUGUUAGAAUGAGCAUUUUCCCUAGGAUGGAUGUCCCUUUUGGUUUCCUUUUCAACAUUUGAAUAGCCCUAGAUCUUCUGACUUCUGAAACCUGAGCUGUUUCUUUCUUUCUUAUGAAAAUGUUGCAUAUGUAUAGGAAACUGACUAUCUCCUUACUCUGCCUGAGAGUAACAGCUAAGAUCACUGGUUUCAUUCAAGUCGCUGAAAAAAGUGUGUGUGGGGGUGUGUAGGUGUGUGGGGGUGUGCUUGCGCACAUCGGUGUAAAGCAGAGAACACUUCAUGGGAACCAGUGGGUCUCCCUCCACCCUUAGGUGUAGGGACUGAACUAGGGUUGUCAGCCUGGCUGCAGGCACUUACACUCAGGAAGUGUAAGUCAUCACUCAGCAGCAAGUCAUUUUCACGAAGAAAAUUUUAUUUUAUGUAGCAAUAGAAAGAAUACUGAACACAGUUCAUACCUUUUUUACAUUUCUACAUGUGAUUAAUUUACUUCUGACUUUCAGACUUUUUUAACACUAUCAUUACAAGAUAUGGCAAGCCGUGUACAGUUAUCUGGACCACAGGAGGCAGAAAAAUAUGUUCUACACAUGAUAGAAGAUGGAGAAAUUUUUGCAAGUAUUAACCAGAAGGAUGGAAUGGUCAGUUUCCAUGAUAACCCUGAGAAGUAUAAUAACCCAGCCAUGCUUCAUAACAUCGACCAAGAGAUGCUAAAAUGCAUAGAGCUGGAUGAGCGACUGAAGGCUAUGGACCAGGAGAUCACGGUGAACCCCCAGUUUGUUCAAAAGAGCAUGGGCUCACAAGAAGAUGACUCAGGAAACAAGCCCUCCAGCUACUCUUGAAACUAACCCCCAUCUUGAGGUAACAGAACCUUGGCCUGGCAAGUGUGAAGAGCGCAGCAGGAAGUACCAUGCGGGUUCCAUGCCGGUUCCUCCUGGACAGUCAGAAAUUCAGUUUAACAUCUGCAGUCCUAUUGCUUUCAGAAAACCAUUCUCUGCAAAGAAAGGAAAAAAAAAAUCCUA